Molecule: small nuclear RNA, 162 nt
Filed under: Ochotona princeps (American pika)
Lineage: Eukaryota; Metazoa; Chordata; Mammalia; Lagomorpha; Ochotonidae
Description: U1 spliceosomal RNA (ENSOPRG00000017590.1)
Rfam family: U1 spliceosomal RNA
About the family: U1 is a small nuclear RNA (snRNA) component of the spliceosome (involved in pre-mRNA splicing).
Source: RNAcentral
ACACUUACCUGGCAGGAGAGGCACUGUUGCCACGAAGGUGGUUUUCCAAGGGCAAGGUAUAUCCGUUGCACUCUGGAUGUGUUGACCCCUGAGAUUUCCUGAAAUGUGGAAAGCUUUAUUGCAUAAUUUGUGGUAGUGUGGGACUGCAUUUGCACGCUUCCC